GGUGGUCCGAAGGUAGUGAGUUAUCUCACUUGAUUGUUCACAGUCAGUGACAGAUUGAACUCCUUGUUGUAAUACUUUCCCCCUUCUCCACUACUGCACUUAACAAGUCUUAA
This 113-nucleotide Y RNA is filed under the name Microcebus murinus (gray mouse lemur). Its description in RNAcentral is "Y RNA (ENSMICG00000046208.1)". It matches the Rfam family "Y RNA". Rfam says of the family: Y RNAs are components of the Ro ribonucleoprotein particle (Ro RNP), in association with Ro60 and La proteins. The Y RNAs and Ro60 and La proteins are well conserved, but the function of the Ro RNP is not known. Lineage: Eukaryota; Metazoa; Chordata; Mammalia; Primates; Cheirogaleidae. The record is from Rfam by way of RNAcentral.